AGAGUGCGCGCAUGCGCAGAAGCGUCUGUGUAACUACGGCACUGCCGUUAUUUCGUAAAUUUAGAUCACGCGGCACAGUAUUGCAGUUCAUAUUGUUCGUGUGCGCGCGCAUUUCUUAGUCGUUGCACAAAGAAAAUAUUCCACCAAGAUUACAUAUGAAGACUACAUUCUAUGACAGGUGCGUUGACCUAUACACAUGGUGUCGUUAUCACAGUUCAUAUUCAUCUGCUGCACAAUAAUUUUUUACAGAUCAGACGUGACCCGUCGAGUAAUUGGUCCACGUGCAGUUCGUUUUUUU
Molecule: long non-coding RNA, 298 nt
Organism: Schistocerca serialis cubense
Lineage: Eukaryota; Metazoa; Arthropoda; Insecta; Orthoptera; Acrididae
Exons: 3
Source: RefSeq, a predicted model, not a curated record